GACGAACGCUGGCGGCGUGCUUAACACAUGCCAGUCGAGCGGAAAGGCCCUGCUUGCAGGGUACUCGAGUGGCGAACGGGUGAGUAACACGUGGGUGAUCUGCCCUGCACUUCGGGAUAAGCCUGGGAAACUGGGUCUAAUACCGGAUAGGAGCCAUUUUUAGUGUGAUGGUUGGAAAGUUUUUUCGGUGUAGGAUGAGCUCGCGGCCUAUCAGCUUGUUGGUGGGGUAAUGGCCUACCAAGGCGGCGACGGGUAGCCGGCCUGAGAGGGUGGACGGCCACAUUGGGACUGAGAUACGGCCCAGACUCCUACGGGAGGCAGCAGUGGGGAAUAUUGCACAAUGGGCGCAAGCCUGAUGCAGCGACGCCGCGUGGGGGAUGACGGCCUUCGGGCUGUAAACUCCUUUCGCUAGGGACGAAGCUUUUGUGACGGUACCUAGAUAAGAAGCACCGGCUAACUACGUG
Molecule: ribosomal RNA, 464 nt
Filed under: uncultured bacterium
Lineage: Bacteria
Description: partial 16S ribosomal RNA
Rfam family: Bacterial small subunit ribosomal RNA
Source: RNAcentral